RNAcentral lists this long non-coding RNA (775 nucleotides) under Chinchilla lanigera (long-tailed chinchilla). Its description in RNAcentral is "lncRNA (ENSCLAG00000026574.1)". The record is from RNAcentral. Lineage: Eukaryota; Metazoa; Chordata; Mammalia; Rodentia; Chinchillidae.
ACUUGACUGUGAUUCAUGCUGUUUAAAAUACGCAACAUUAGGACGCGGUGAGUUUCAGAAAGUGUCCUUGUCUCCUGUAUCUGCCCCUUAUGAAUAAGAGUGCAGGUACAAGUAUGGGGUGAUUGGGAGAAACGUGAACUUAUAGCUCCUGAAACAGACACUAUAUUGUGGCAAAUAAGAGAAUGUUCUGCAAAUUAUCUCAGGGAUCGCUUAGAUUUCAAGACACACUAUGAAGACAAGACGGCUAGUGGUCUUUGACCCUCAGAAUCACCUCAGAGAGUUGCUCGUGAAGAAAAAACACAAUUUAUUCCUCUCCUAAAUGUGGAAAAUACUACAAAAUACCUGUCUGGAGAGAACAUUCUCAGAGUCUUGUCAUUCUCCGUUCAGGUUGAUUUGCGUGAGAGGCAUUUUUUUUGUCAACAUUUUGGACCAGAAUAAUUUUGCUAUGCUUGCUUACCAUGAAAUCUCCAAUUUGAGAUAAAAUCAGAUUUAAAAAAACAUGAAGUUUUCUUCCUGAGUAUCCUUGGAAAGCAGAAUGCACUGUGCCAGCUGCUGUGGCCACACUAUACAACCACAUUCUCAUGUGCUCAGAACAGACCGCCCUUUGCAUAUACUGUGAAAAUGGAGUCUAUUUCUCAUCAGUUCCUUUCCUUCAGUUUUUCCCUCAGAAAAUGGUUUUAAUUAAUAUUGAUAUAUAAGAUUUAGAAUUCUAAGAUGUUAAAGGUCGGUUAAUAUAAAUUUUCUUUCAGUUAGUUCUUUUUGACAUUUCUAUAUG